AUAAUGGGUCAGCGACUUAUAUUCUGUAGCAAGGUUAACCGAAUAGGGGAGCCGAAGGGAAACCGAGUCUUAACUGGGCGUUAAGUUGCAGGGUAUAGACCCGAAACCCGGUGAUCUAGCCAUGGGCAGGUUGAAGGUUGGGUAACACUAACUGGAGGACCGAACCGACUAAUGUUGAAAAAUUAGCGGAUGACUUGUGGCUGGGGGUGAAAGGCCAAUCAAACCGGGAGAUAGCUGGUUCUCCCCGAAAGCUAUUUAGGUAGCGCCUCGUGAAUUCAUCUCCGGGGGUAGAGCACUGUUUCGGCAAGGGGGUCAUCCCGACUUACCAACCCGAUGCAAACUGCGAAUACCGGAGAAUGUUAUCACGGGAGACACACGGCGGGUGCUAACGUCCGUCGUGAAGAGGGAAACAACCCAGACCGCCAGCUAAGGUCCCAAAGUCAUGGUUAAGUGGGAAACGAUGUGGGAAGGCCCAGACAGCCAGGAUGUUGGCUUAGAAGCAGCCAUCAUUUAAAGAAAGCGUAAUAGCUCACUGGUCGAGUCGGCCUGCGCGGAAGAUGUAACGGGGCUAAACCAUGCACCGAAGCUGCGGCAGCGACGCUGAUGCGUUGUUGGGUAGGGGAGCGUUCUGUAAGCCUGUGAAGGUGUGCUGUGAGGCAUGCUGGAGGUAUCAGAAGUGCGAAUGCUGACAUAAGUAACGAUAAAGCGGGUGAAAAGCCCGCUCGCCGGAAGACCAAGGGUUCCUGUCCAACGUUAAUCGGGGCAGGGUGAGUCGACCCCUAAGGCGAGGCCGAAAGGCGUAGUCGAUGGGAAACAGGUUAAUAUUCCUGUACUUGGUGUUACUGCGAAGGGGGGACGGAGAAGGCUAUGUUGGCCGGGCGACGGUUGUCCCGGUUUAAGCGUGUAGGCUGGUUUUCCAGGCAAAUCCGGAAAACUAAGGCUGAGGCGUGAUGACGAGGCACUACGGUGCUGAAGCAACAAAUGCCCUGCUUCCAGGAAAAGCCUCUAAGCAUCAGGUAACAUCAAAUCGUACCCCAAACCGACACAGGUGGUCAGGUAGAGAAUACCAAGGCGCUUGAGAGAACUCGGGUGAAGGAACUAGGCAAAAUGGUGCCGUAACUUCGGGAGAAGGCACGCUGAUAUGUAGGUGAAGUCCCUCGCGGAUGGAGCUGAAAUCAGUCGAAGAUACCAGCUGGCUGCAACUGUUUAUUAAAAACACAGCACUGUGCAAACACGAAAGUGGACGUAUACGGUGUGACGCCUGCCCGGUGCCGGAAGGUUAAUUGAUGGGGUCAGCGCAAGCGAAGCUCUUGAUCGAAGCCCCGGUAAACGGCGGCCGUAACUAUAACGGUCCUAAGGUAGCGAAAUUCCUUGUCGGGUAAGUUCCGACCUGCACGAAUGGCGUAAUGAUGGCCAGGCUGUCUCCACCCGAGACUCAGUGAAAUUGAACUCGCUGUGAAGAUGCAGUGUACCCGCGGCAAGACGGAAAGACCCCGUGAACCUUUACUAUAGCUUGACACUGAACAUUGAGCCUUGAUGUGUAGGAUAGGUGGGAGGCUUUGAAGUGUGGACGCCAGUCUGCAUGGAGCCGACCUUGAAAUACCACCCUUUAAUGUUUGAUGUUCUAACGUUGACCCGUAAUCCGGGUUGCGGACAGUGUCUGGUGGGUAGUUUGACUGGGGCGGUCUCCUCCUAAAGAGUAACGGAGGAGCACGAAGGUUGGCUAAUCCUGGUCGGACAUCAGGAGGUUAGUGCAAUGGCAUAAGCCAGCUUGACUGCGAGCGUGACGGCGCGAGCAGGUGCGAAAGCAGGUCAUAGUGAUCCGGUGGUUCUGAAUGGAAGGGCCAUCGCUCAACGGAUAAAAGGUACUCCGGGGAUAACAGGCUGAUACCGCCCAAGAGUUCAUAUCGACGGCGGUGUUUGGCACCUCGAUGUCGGCUCAUCACAUCCUGGGGCUGAAGUAG
Molecule: ribosomal RNA, 1964 nt
Filed under: Escherichia coli
Lineage: Bacteria; Pseudomonadati; Pseudomonadota; Gammaproteobacteria; Enterobacterales; Enterobacteriaceae
Description: partial 23S ribosomal RNA
Rfam family: Bacterial large subunit ribosomal RNA
Source: RNAcentral